Molecule: unclassified non-coding RNA, 328 nt
Filed under: soil metagenome
Description: partial contains 5.8S ribosomal RNA, internal transcribed spacer 2, and large subunit ribosomal RNA
Rfam family: 5.8S ribosomal RNA (bases 2-119)
Source: RNAcentral
GUGAAGAACGUAGUGAAAUGCGAUAAGUAAUGUGAAUUGCAGAAUUCAGUGAAUCAUCGAAUCUUUGAACGCACAUUGCGCCCCCUGGUAUUCCGGGGGGCAUGCCUGUCCGAGCGUCAUUACAACCCUCAAGCUCAGCUUGGUAUUGGGCCCCGCCGCUUCGGCGGGCCCUAAAGUCAGUGGCGGUGCCGUCCGGCUCCGAGCGUAGUAAUUCUUCUCGCUCUGGAGGCCCGGUCGUGUGCUUGCCAGCAACCCCCAAUUUUUUUCAGGUUGACCUCGGAUCAGGUAGGGAUACCCGCUGAACUUAAGCAUAUCAAUAAGCGGAGGA